CACUUUCAACAACGGAUCUCUUGGUUCUGGCAUCGAUG
Molecule: ribosomal RNA, 38 nt
Filed under: uncultured fungus
Lineage: Eukaryota; Fungi
Description: partial 5.8S ribosomal RNA
Source: RNAcentral